Long non-coding RNA from Oryzias melastigma (Indian medaka), 846 nucleotides. RefSeq lists it as uncharacterized. NCBI's taxonomy places the organism in Eukaryota, Metazoa, Chordata, Actinopteri, Beloniformes, Adrianichthyidae. The record is from RefSeq and is a predicted model, not a curated record. The transcript has 4 exons.
ACCUUCUCAUCCUGUCAAACAGCCCAUUUUUUCUAUUAAACCGUCAUGUCUGGAUUUCUUUAUUUUCAUCAUUUAUCCACAAAUCCCUCCCUCGGCGCCUCCUUGACAGUGAUACUUUCUUUUCAGAAAAUUAUUGCAGCAAAUUAUUCCUUCCCUGUUGUGCCAUAGUAAGAAAAUGCUGUUUUACUCUGUCAAAACUCUCCAAGUGCAGUGAAAAUAAACCACUUAGAAUAAAUUGGUCUCACCUGUAGGCCAGAUAACAGGAGUGUUAGUGCAUCUUUCUCUUCAGGGGGCUUCUACUCUGUGCUCUUUCACCUCUGUGGUUUGUCCCUGGCUGCGCUGAAUGGAAAUGAACAGUUCAGACAGAACAGCAGUACGUGACACUGUCGCAGUGAGAGCAGGUUUGAUGUCGACAAACAAGGAAACUAAACUGAAGACGUCUCAGACACUUCAGGAACAGAUUCUUGAAGGAACCCGUUGUUCCAGAGUUGACAGUCUUCAUGAAUAUGGCUUCUCAUCAAGGAGUUUAAAGUCAACUGGACCGGAUGUUAACCGCGCUCCUGCCUCUGACAUCUAAAAUAAUUAUUCCCUCGUCACUAAUUGAAAGGGACGCCUCGAUGUAAAGACACUGAGGCUAAUUCAAUCACUUGAAUUUAAUUAUUCUUCAAUGAAAACGUGUAAUUGAAAAUGUUAAUGAACUAUUUAAGUCAUUUUAAGGGGAAAUUGUCCAAUUUCAGUUCUAAUGUGUCAAGUGAUCCCUUGACUCAUCUGGUAGGUGAUUCGCCUGAGGUGCUGCCCUAAAAAAAAAAAAAAAAGGCAAUUAAUAAAGUACUCAAGGUCAAAUGA